GACGUAGGGGGCGAGCGUUGUCCGGAUUUAUUGGGCGUAAAGAGCUCGUAGGCGGCUUGUUGCGUCGGCUGUGAAAACCCAUGGCUCAGCCGUGGGCUUGCAGCCGAUACGGGCAGGCUAGAGUUCGGUAGGGGAGACUGGAAUUCCUGGUGUAGCGGUGAAAUGCGCAGAUAUCAGGAGGAACACCGGUGGCGAAGGCGGGUCUCUGGGCCGAUACUGACGCUGAGGAGCGAAAGCGUGGGGAGCGAACAGG
RNAcentral lists this ribosomal RNA (253 nucleotides) under uncultured bacterium. RNAcentral's name for it is "partial 16S ribosomal RNA". It matches the Rfam family "Bacterial small subunit ribosomal RNA", at positions 524 to 776 of the family's 1533-position model. The record is from RNAcentral.